RNAcentral lists this ribosomal RNA (497 nucleotides) under uncultured bacterium. RNAcentral describes it as "partial 16S ribosomal RNA". It matches the Rfam family "Bacterial small subunit ribosomal RNA", at positions 28 to 507 of the family's 1533-position model. The record is from RNAcentral.
GAUGAACGCUGGCGGCGUGCCUAAUACAUGCAAGUCGAGCGAACAGACGAGGAGCUUGCUCCUUUGACGUUAGCGGCGGGCGGGUGUGUAACACGUGUAUAACCCACCUAUAAUUCGGGUAUAACUUCGGGAAACCGGCGCUAAUACCGGAGAAUAUCUUGAACCACAUGGUUCAAUGGUGAAAGACGGUUUUGCUGGCUCUUAUAGAUGGAUCCGCGCCGCAUUAGCUAGUUGGUAAGUUAACGGCUUACCAAGGCAACGAUGCGUAGCCGAGGUGAGAGGGUGAUCGGCCACACUGGAGGGUAGACACGGUCCAGACGCCUACGGGAGGCAGCAGUAGGGAAUCUUACGCAAUGGGCGAAAGCCUGACGGAACAACGCCACGUGAGUGAUGAAGGUCUUCGGAUCGUAAAGCUCUGUUAUUGGGGAAGAACAGAUGUGUAAGUAACUAUGCACGUCUUGACGGUAACUAAUAAAAAAGCACCGGCUAACUACGUG